Molecule: unclassified non-coding RNA, 223 nt
Filed under: Hevea brasiliensis (rubber tree)
Lineage: Eukaryota; Viridiplantae; Streptophyta; Magnoliopsida; Malpighiales; Euphorbiaceae
Source: RNAcentral
UUUUCUUUGAUAAACCUCUGCAUUCUCAACUGGAGUUUGACAAAUACUUUGCAUUUGGAGGAACCAAAAGUUAGCAUAAAAGAGCAUUUACAUUGCCAAAGAACACAAGUUUCUAGGUAGAUAUGCUCCUCUAACCAUUAUAUUUGAUUCUACCAUUCAACAAAUUGGGAGUGAAAAAUUUAUCAAAGAAAACCCUCUUUAGGUAUAGAACAUGCCUUCACAC